RNAcentral lists this ribosomal RNA (774 nucleotides) under uncultured Neocallimastigales. RNAcentral's name for it is "partial large subunit ribosomal RNA". It matches the Rfam family "Eukaryotic large subunit ribosomal RNA", at positions 23 to 647 of the family's 3401-position model. The record is from RNAcentral. Lineage: Eukaryota; Fungi; Neocallimastigomycota; Neocallimastigomycetes; Neocallimastigales.
AGAGAGAGACAUGCGCGCAUAUCAAUAAGCGGAGGAAAAGAAACUAACAAGGAUUCCCCUAGUAACGGCGAGUGAAGCGGGAAGAGCUCAAAUUUGAAAUCUUAAAGGGUUUCCCUUUACGAAUUGUAGUUUAAAGAAGUGUUUUCUGUUGAGGUUUUGGUAAAAGUUCUUUGGUAUAGGACAUCAUAGAGGGUGAGAAUCCCGUAUUUGACCUUUACUUUCAACUUUGUGAUACACUUUCAAAGAGUCGGAUUGUUUGGGAAUGCAGUCCAAAAUGGGUGGUAAAUUUCAUCUAAAGCUAAAUAUUGGCGAGAGACCGAUAGCGAACAAGUACCGUGAGGGAAAGAUGAAAAGAACUUUGAAAAGAGAGUUAAACAGUACGUGAAAUUGUCAAAAGGGAAGCGUUUGACACCAGUGUUGUUUUUCUGAAAAUCAAUUAAAGAACUGUUUAUGCUAAGUUGUUUAGACUUUAUCAGCUAUCUGUUUAGUUUUGAGCUUUUCUUUAAUGCACUUUUCAGUUAACAAGUCAACAUCAAUUUCUUUUGCUGUAAAAAAGCUUGAGGAAGGUGGCUUGAGAUUCGUCUUAAGUGUUUAUAGCCUCUUGCCUAUGCAGUCGGAGAGAUUGAGGUCUGCAGCGUAGAUCCUUCGGGGCUAAAUGCAUUUGUGCUAAGUUAUAACAUUUUAUAGACAACUUGUUGACUAUGAUUUGUCUUGUAGCUUACUCGCUUAUGUUAUUUUACCUACGCUUAGGAUGUUGACGCAUGAGAUAUACGC